Molecule: ribosomal RNA, 414 nt
Filed under: uncultured archaeon
Lineage: Archaea
Description: partial 16S ribosomal RNA
Rfam family: Archaeal small subunit ribosomal RNA
Source: RNAcentral
GCGCAGCAGGCGCGAAAACUCCGCAAUGCGCGAAAGCGUGACGGGGUCACCCCGAGUGCCGUCCGCUGAGGAUGGCUUUUGCCUGGUCUAACCAGCCGGGUGAAUAAGGGGAGGGCAAGUCUGGUGUCAGCCGCCGCGGUAAUACAGGCCGCCCGAGUAGUGACCACUAUUAUUGGGCCUAAAGCGUCCGUAGCCGGUUUUGUAAGUUUCUGGGUAAAUCCCACAGCUUAACUGCGGGAAUUCCAGAAAUGCUGCAGAGCUAGGGGCCGGGAGACGCAGAAGGUACUCCUGGGGUAGGGGUGAAAUCCUAUAAUCCUAGGGGGACCACCAGUGGCGAAGGCGUUCUGCGAGAACACGCCCGACGGUGAGGGAUGAAAGCUGGGGGAGCGAACCGGAUUAGAUACCCGGGAGUCC